Molecule: transfer RNA, 75 nt
Filed under: Candidatus Peribacteria bacterium RIFCSPHIGHO2_01_FULL_49_38
Lineage: Bacteria; Candidatus Peregrinibacteriota; Candidatus Peribacteria
Also listed under: 1 other name
Description: tRNA-Arg
Rfam family: tRNA
About the family: Transfer RNA (tRNA) molecules are approximately 80 nucleotides in length. Their secondary structure includes four short double-helical elements and three loops (D, anti-codon, and T loops). Further hydrogen bonds mediate the characteristic L-shaped molecular structure. tRNAs have two regions of fundamental functional importance: the anti-codon, which is responsible for specific mRNA codon recognition, and the 3' end, to which the tRNAs corresponding amino acid is attached (by aminoacyl-tRNA synthetases). tRNAs cope with the degeneracy of the genetic code in two manners: having more than one tRNA (with a specific anti-codon) for a particular amino acid; and 'wobble' base-pairing, i.e. permitting non-standard base-pairing at the 3rd anti-codon position.
Source: RNAcentral
GCCCUCGUAGGUUAACGGAUAGACCGCCAGCCUCCGAAGCUGGAGAUAUAGGUUCGAUUCCUGUCGAGGGCACCA